RNAcentral lists this ribosomal RNA (307 nucleotides) under uncultured bacterium. Its description in RNAcentral is "bacterial SSU rRNA". It matches the Rfam family "Bacterial small subunit ribosomal RNA", at positions 28 to 334 of the family's 1533-position model. The record is from RNAcentral.
GACGAACGCUGGCGGCGUGCCUAACACAUGCAAGUCGAACGGAGUUAAGACUUCGGUUUUAACUUAGUGGCGAACGGGUGAGUAACGCGUGAGAAACCUGCCUUUCAGUGGGGGACAACAGUUGGAAACGACUGCUAAUACCGCAUAAUGUUAUUUGGGGGCAUCCUUGAAUAACCAAAGCUUUAUGUGCUGAAAGAUGGUCUCGCGUCUGAUUAGCUAGUUGGUGAGGUAACGGCUCACCAAGGCGACGAUCAGUAGCCGGUCUGAGAGGAUGAACGGCCACAUUGGGGACUGAGAUACGGCCCAG